RNAcentral lists this RNase P RNA (356 nucleotides) under Flavobacteriales bacterium. RNAcentral describes it as "RNase P RNA component class A". It matches the Rfam family "Bacterial RNase P class A". From Rfam's summary of the family: Ribonuclease P (RNase P) is a ubiquitous endoribonuclease, found in archaea, bacteria and eukarya as well as chloroplasts and mitochondria. Its best characterised activity is the generation of mature 5'-ends of tRNAs by cleaving the 5'-leader elements of precursor-tRNAs. The record is from RNAcentral. Lineage: Bacteria; Pseudomonadati; Bacteroidota; Flavobacteriia; Flavobacteriales.
AACGAGACCCGGCCUAUCGCUGGAGUACUGUAAGGUACUCUGGAGGAAAGUCCGGACAGCACAGGGUACUGUACUUCUCAAAAGGAAGGCGUUUGUCCUGCAAAGGGCAGAUGACAGAUAGUGCUACAGAAAUUCAGACGGCCUCACACAUGUGCGGUCAAGGUGAAAAGGCGGGGUAAGAGCCCACCAGUGAUGCAGAGAUGCAUCAGCUCAGGUAAACCUUGCAGGCUGAAAGACCAUGUAAACUGACGUUUGAGAACGACCCGUUCGAUGUCAGAGGGUAGGUCGAGUAGAUAAAUGAUAGGCACCUUCACUUGUGAAGGUCACAGAAUCCGGCUUACAGGGUCUCGUUCUUC